RNAcentral lists this non-coding RNA (89 nucleotides) under Anoxybacteroides amylolyticum. RNAcentral's name for it is "Anoxybacillus amylolyticus c-di-GMP sequence". It matches the Rfam family "c-di-GMP-I riboswitch aptamer". Rfam says of the family: GEMM was predicted in a large-scale screen for bacterial structured RNA regulatory elements. The record is from Rfam by way of RNAcentral. Lineage: Bacteria; Bacillati; Bacillota; Bacilli; Caryophanales; Anoxybacillaceae.
UAAGUUUAAGGGCAAACCAUGUGAAAACUUGGGACGCAAAGCUAUAGGGGCUAAAAUAGCCAUUGCUAUUAUGCCAGCCAGCUGCCGUU